RNAcentral lists this ribosomal RNA (253 nucleotides) under uncultured organism. Its description in RNAcentral is "partial 16S ribosomal RNA". It matches the Rfam family "Bacterial small subunit ribosomal RNA", at positions 524 to 776 of the family's 1533-position model. The record is from RNAcentral.
UACGUAGGGUGCGAGCGUUAAUCGGAAUUACUGGGCGUAAAGCGUGCGUAGGUGGUUCGGUAAGUCAGAUGUGAAAGCCCCGGGCUCAACCUGGGAACGGCAUUUGAUACUGUCGGGCUAGAGUUUGGUAGAGGGAAGUGGAAUUCCACGUGUAGCGGUGAAAUGCGUAGAUAUGUGGAGGAACACCAGUGGCGAAGGCGGCUUCCUGGACUAAAACUGACACUGAGGCACGAAAGCGUGGGGAGCAAACAGG